This 2907-nucleotide ribosomal RNA is filed under the name Campylobacter coli BIGS0011. RNAcentral's name for it is "bacterial LSU rRNA". It matches the Rfam family "Bacterial large subunit ribosomal RNA". Lineage: Bacteria; Pseudomonadati; Campylobacterota; Epsilonproteobacteria; Campylobacterales; Campylobacteraceae. The record is from RNAcentral.
GUAAGCUACUAAGAGCGAAUGGUGGAUGCCUUGACUGGUAAAGGCGAUGAAGGACGUACUAGACUGCGAUAAGCUACGGGGAGCUGUCAAGAAGCUUUGAUCCGUAGAUUUCCGAAUGGGGCAACCCAAUGUAUAGAGAUAUACAUUACCUAUAUAGGAGCGAACGAGGGGAAUUGAAACAUCUUAGUACCCUCAGGAAAAGAAAUCAAUAGAGAUUGCGUCAGUAGCGGCGAGCGAAAGCGCAAGAGGGCAAACCCAGUGCUUGCACUGGGGGUUGUAGGACUGCAAUGUGCAAGAGGUGAGUUUAGCAGAACAUUCUGGAAAGUAUAGCCAUAGAGGGUGAUAGUCCCGUAUGCGAAAAACAAACCUUAGCUAGCAGUAUCCUGAGUAGGGCGGGACACGAGAAAUCCUGUCUGAAGCUGGGUCGACCACGAUCCAACCCUAAAUACUAAUACCAGAUCGAUAGUGUACAAGUACCGUGAGGGAAAGGUGAAAAGAACUGAGGUGAUCAGAGUGAAAUAGAACCUGAAACCAUUUGCUUACAAUCAUUCAGAGCACUAUGUAGCAAUACAGUGUGAUGGACUGCCUUUUGCAUAAUGAGCCUGCGAGUUGUGGUGUCUGGCAAGGUUAAGCAAACGCGAAGCCGUAGCGAAAGCGAGUCUGAAUAGGGCGCUUAGUCAGAUGCUGCAGACCCGAAACGAAGUGAUCUAUCCAUGAGCAAGUUGAAGCUAGUGUAAGAACUAGUGGAGGACUGAACCCAUAGGCGUUGAAAAGCCCCGGGAUGACUUGUGGAUAGGGGUGAAAGGCCAAUCAAACUUCGUGAUAGCUGGUUCUCUCCGAAAUAUAUUUAGGUAUAGCGUUGUGUCGUAAUAUAAGGGGGUAGAGCACUGAAUGGGCUAGGGCAUACACCAAUGUACCAAACCCUAUCAAACUCCGAAUACCUUAUAUGUAAUCACAGCAGUCAGGCGGCGAGUGAUAAAAUCCGUCGUCAAGAGGGAAACAACCCAGACUACCAGCUAAGGUCCCUAAAUCUUACUUAAGUGGAAAACGAUGUGAAGUUACUUAAACAACCAGGAGGUUGGCUUAGAAGCAGCCAUCCUUUAAAGAAAGCGUAAUAGCUCACUGGUCUAGUGAUUUUGCGCGGAAAAUAUAACGGGGCUAAAGUAAGUACCGAAGCUGUAGACUUGACUUUGUCAAGUGGUAGGAGAGCGUUCUAUUUGCGUCGAAGGUAUACCGGUAAGGAGUGCUGGAGCGAAUAGAAGUGAGCAUGCAGGCAUGAGUAGCGAUAAUUAAUGUGAGAAUCAUUAACGCCGUAAACCCAAGGUUUCCUACGCGAUGCUCGUCAUCGUAGGGUUAGUCGGGUCCUAAGUCGAGUCCGAAAGGGGUAGACGAUGGCAAAUUGGUUAAUAUUCCAAUACCAACAUUAGUGUGCGAUGGAAGGACGCUUAGGGCUAAGGGGGCUAGCGAAUGGAAGUGCUAGUCUAAGGUCGUAGGUGCUUAUACAGGCAAAUCCGUAUAAGAAUACACCGAGAACUGAAAGGCUUUUUGAAGUCUUCGGAUGGAUAGAAGAACCCCUGAUGCCGUCGAGCCAAGAAAAGUUUCUAAGUUUAGCUAAUGUUGCCCGUACCGUAAACCGACACAGGUGGGUGGGAUGAGUAUUCUAAGGCGCGUGGAAGAACUCUCUUUAAGGAACUCUGCAAAAUAGCACCGUAUCUUCGGUAUAAGGUGUGGUUCGCUUCGUAUUAGGAUUUACUCCGAAAGCGAAGAAACUUACAACAAAGAGUCCCUCCCGACUGUUUACCAAAAACACAGCACUCUGCUAACUCGUAAGAGGAUGUAUAGGGUGUGACGCCUGCCCGGUGCUCGAAGGUUAAUUGAUGGGGUUAGCAUUAGCGAAGCUCUUGAUCGAAGCCCGAGUAAACGGCGGCCGUAACUAUAACGGUCCUAAGGUAGCGAAAUUCCUUGUCGGUUAAAUACCGACCUGCAUGAAUGGCGUAACGAGAUGGGAGCUGUCUCAAAGAGGGAUCCAGUGAAAUUGUAGUGGAGGUGAAAAUUCCUCCUACCCGCGGCAAGACGGAAAGACCCCGUGGACCUUUACUACAGCUUGACACUGCUAUUUGGAUAAGAAUGUGCAGGAUAGGUGGGAGGCUUUGAGUAUAUGACGCCAGUUGUAUAUGAGCCAUUGUUGAGAUACCACUCUUUCUUAUUUGGGUAGCUAACCAGCUUGAGUUAUCCUCAAGUGGGACAAUGUCUGGUGGGUAGUUUGACUGGGGCGGUCGCCUCCCAAAUAAUAACGGAGGCUUACAAAGGUUGGCUCAGAACGGUUGGAAAUCGUUCGUAGAGUAUAAAGGUAUAAGCCAGCUUAACUGCAAGACAUACAAGUCAAGCAGAGACGAAAGUCGGUCUUAGUGAUCCGGUGGUUCUGUGUGGAAGGGCCAUCGCUCAAAGGAUAAAAGGUACCCCGGGGAUAACAGGCUGAUCUCCCCCAAGAGCUCACAUCGACGGGGAGGUUUGGCACCUCGAUGUCGGCUCAUCGCAUCCUGGGGCUGGAGCAGGUCCCAAGGGUAUGGCUGUUCGCCAUUUAAAGCGGUACGCGAGCUGGGUUCAGAACGUCGUGAGACAGUUCGGUCCCUAUCUGCCGUGGGCGUAAGAAGAUUGAAGAGAUUUGACCCUAGUACGAGAGGACCGGGUUGAACAAACCACUGGUGUAGCUGUUGUUCUGCCAAGAGCAUCGCAGCGUAGCUAAGUUUGGAAAGGAUAAACGCUGAAAGCAUCUAAGCGUGAAGCCAACUCUAAGAUGAAUCUUCUCUAAGCUCUCUAGAAGACUACUAGUUUGAUAGGCUGGGUGUGUAAUGGAUGAAAGUCCUUUAGCUGACCAGUACUAAUAGAGCGUUUGGCUUAUCUUUA